UGAUGGGAAUAUAUAGCAGCAAUGUGGGGAAAGCCUGACGCAGCAACGCCGCGUGAGUGAUGAAGGCCUUCGGGUUGUAAAGCUCUGUCUUCGGGGACGAAAAAGACGGUAACUGAGGAGGAAGCCACGGCUAACUACCUGCCCGCAGCCCCGGGAAUAA
Molecule: ribosomal RNA, 160 nt
Filed under: uncultured anaerobic bacterium
Lineage: Bacteria
Description: partial 16S ribosomal RNA
Rfam family: Bacterial small subunit ribosomal RNA
Source: RNAcentral